GGCAAGAUGGGGAGCCACUGGGGGAAAAAAAAAAACUAACCAACUAAACAAAAUAAAAACACCUGCAUAUGUUCUUGAUUUCCAAGCCAAGCAAAACAUAUUUGAUAGCACUCAGAGUAAAACAUAGGUCACACAUCUCAGAAAUAGCAAUUUAUUCAUAGUAGUCAAGAUUUAUGCUUUCCCAUUUUGACAGCAACAGUAUGAAUUUAAAUAGAAAGAAGGUAUAUUAAUAGACAACACUUUAGAAUUUCAGGAACAAAAUUUUCAAAGGAUAGAGGAGAGUUACAUAGGACUCCCUUGAAUGCUAUUUGAAAUACAUAUGUUGGUUAACAUGAAUCUUCUAAAGAUGAUUUAUUCCCCUCAUCUCCUUGGGGCCAUUUCCAAGUCUUUUGGGUUUGGAAAAACAACUAAUGGUCUGAUUUUCCUUUGAGAGGAAGAAUGGGGAUGGAAUGAUGUUUUGCUCUUUUGUUAUUCCGUGAGUUGGGCAUGGCAUCAGUUCCAUGAAGAAGACUGAAAGUAACCCAUAAUGGCUUUUGGAUAUGUUAAUAACUAUGUAUCAUUUUACAUUUGUAAUGAGAAGACACUCUUGUCAGUGAGACAUGCCACAUUGUUAAGUCACAGAAAAUUACAUAAUAGUACAAUAAUCUGGGGUGAUGGAAGGCUGCUUUUUGCUCUUGUAGAUCAGAAAUGGUAAACACUCCCAAGCCUCUAACUUGAGAGGGAUGCAUUUAGCUCAUUUCUCUACUUUUUCAGCUGAAGCAUUGUCAUGAAUCUAUAUAUGCCAAGUGUUCAUGAUAGGUCCAUUCCUCCAUACUCUAGGUCUACAGAUAAUGCUUCAGGACAGUCAUAUCCAUUGGGAAAGUGGGUCCAGAAUAGAAGAGGGAAGGAGGGAGCUGUCCAGUGAGAUAAGGAGUCUUCUGUUUGGAAGAAGGAAACUUGGAGAAAGUUCUCCAUGGCAAGGAGAGGGAGUACUGCUCAGUCAACUGUCACAACUACUUGUUUUAAAAGGAUAA
This 1013-nucleotide long non-coding RNA is filed under the name Monodelphis domestica (gray short-tailed opossum). RNAcentral's name for it is "lncRNA (ENSMODG00000047365.1)". The record is from RNAcentral. Lineage: Eukaryota; Metazoa; Chordata; Mammalia; Didelphimorphia; Didelphidae.